Molecule: long non-coding RNA, 558 nt
Organism: Trifolium pratense (red clover)
Lineage: Eukaryota; Viridiplantae; Streptophyta; Magnoliopsida; Fabales; Fabaceae
Exons: 2
Source: RefSeq, a predicted model, not a curated record
UCUAAUUAAGAGACAUUGUCUAAAGUGUGCUAAAGGGACAAACACAAUACAUUUUUCUAAUAAUUUGAAUGAGUUUAAUACACUAUAAAGUGAUCAAAUCCGAUUCUAGUUGUUGCAUGAAAAGAGAAAAAAGAUAUGGCUAAAACUCUCCAAUUUAUUUGUGCUGUGAUUUUAUUUCUUUUCCUAUUUUUUAUUGCAAAGGAGGUUGACGGACAAACUAAAUGUCAAACUCAUCGUGAUUGUCCUAAAAUUUCCAAUGUGAAUCCUUCAAUUCCAGACUUGCAGCCUUCAUUUUAUAAGUGCAUUGAAAACAUGUGUGUACGGAUAUUGUUCGACUAGAGAAGACAAACUCCAUGCAGGGAAGAAUAAGCUCUUGUACUUGAAAAAAAAAAUGCAAUAUACCUUAUACUAGAAUAUUUUAUGAGUUGCCAUUUAAAUGUUGUGUCAGCAUCCAAUAAUUUUUUUUUGUAUUAUAAUUUUAGGAUCUUGAAAUAAUGUAUUUGUACUCUAAAAUGUUGUUAAUGAAAUGAAAUAAGGCACUAAAGAAUAUUAUAAUUA